RNAcentral lists this unclassified non-coding RNA (1203 nucleotides) under Hevea brasiliensis (rubber tree). The record is from RNAcentral. Lineage: Eukaryota; Viridiplantae; Streptophyta; Magnoliopsida; Malpighiales; Euphorbiaceae.
GAGAGAGUGGUAGCAUUGUCAAAUAAGGAAGAAAAAUAAAAUGAAAAUAUUAAAAAUAAGAGAAAAGCAGAAAGAGAACAAUAAAAGGCCAUCGAUAAAUAAUCAACUUCCAUGCAAGAGAUUAAGGGUUCAAACAUUGGCAACAAUCCCCUUCAAGAAUUUUCAAAGAACAAAAAAUAAAAGGAUAUUUUCCACAAUAGAAUGCUAGUAACUCCAAGUGAGUAACCAAAAAAGGUGCUCAAUGGAGUUAUAAUUAAAAUUUUUUGACACCACAAUCGUUUUUGCUAACACUUAACCAUUUAUUAUUUAUUAGAGUAAUAAUAUUUUAACUUGGAGGUGAUAAUAUUUUAACUAGGAGAACUUCAUUCAUUAAAAUCACUCAAUAAAUUGAGUGGAAACUUCCUACUUAAUUUUUCAAUCCAAUAAUGAUUCUUUUCUCAAUUGACACAAUAAUCACUACCUUUUUCCUUUUGAUACAAAGAAGGGGGGAACCCAAAAACAACAAGAGAAAUCAACCAGCCCUCAUCAAUCUAGGCCUGAGAGUCCUCUCUCACCAACUGCAACACCUUAUUAGGAGGAACCUAAAGCAAGUGCAUCCCUUCAACUGAAUCCACACUCAUAUUUUGGCUACUUUUGAUUGUUAUCAACUAAGCUAUUGUCACUUUUGUUGCCACCCUAACAACACAAUCACUAAAACUGAAACGACUACCCACAUCCACCAUCAUGAUCACCGGCAUUAUCAUCACUAUUACUGCUAAGGAUUACAAGCAAAGUAAUUAUUGUCAUGCUAACAACACCACCACAACCUUAUAACCACCACUAACCAGUAACCACUGCUUAAAAGCUGAUCAUCAUCCCUAGUUCCCCACUGCCUCCACCAUCAUCAUAACCACACUAUUAUACCAAAUUGAAAAUUCCUUUUGUCAAAUUGUGUUAUAAUAUUUAGGAAAAAGUACAAAAAAUUACCUUGAGAUUUUGUGCUUUAAUAUGGUUCAAUUUUUGACAAAAUGGUAUCCUGAACUUUACUCUACUAGAAAUUUAAGGAAAAAUGCUCUAAUAUUGUUAAUUUUGCUAAUGUGGCAGUGCGAGUAUAAUAAAAGUUUACUUUUUAAAAUUUUUCUUAGCUUCCACAAAUAACAUGAAAACAAAAAAGAAAAAUUGAAUUAACAAUUUUUAAUGAAAAGAAAAAAUUUAUUUUAUUUA